RNAcentral lists this ribosomal RNA (301 nucleotides) under uncultured bacterium. Its description in RNAcentral is "partial 16S ribosomal RNA". It matches the Rfam family "Bacterial small subunit ribosomal RNA", at positions 509 to 807 of the family's 1533-position model. The record is from RNAcentral.
CAGUCGCCGCGGUAAUACGAAGGUCCCAAGCGUUGUUCGGAAUCACUGGGCGUAAAGGGAGCGUAGGCGGCGUGGUAAGUCAGAUGUGAAAUCCCGGGGCUCAACCCCGGAACUGCAUCCGAUACUGCCAUGCUUGAGGGUUGGAGAGGUAGCUGGAAUUCUCGGUGUAGCAGUGAAAUGCGUGGAUAUCGAGAGGAACACUCGUGGCGAAGGCGAGCUACUGGACAACAACUGACGCUGAGGCUCGAAGGCCAGGGUAGCGAAAGGGAUUAGAUACCCCUGUAGUCCCUGUCUCUUAUAC